Molecule: long non-coding RNA, 1122 nt
Organism: Anolis carolinensis (green anole)
Lineage: Eukaryota; Metazoa; Chordata; Lepidosauria; Squamata; Anolidae
Exons: 2
Source: RefSeq, a predicted model, not a curated record
GCUGUGAGCAAAUGUUGUAGACAAUGAUUAAUGACGUCACAAAGGGCUAUCCUUAGGUCUCGGGUUUUGUCUUGGAAACCUCAGGGCCAGAGAUGAUCCUGACCUAGCAAUCAUACCAGCUAGCCAAGUUUCUGAUAAUCUUCCACUCUGAGACAAAGACUUUUUUAUUUAAACAGGCCGCUGACCCAUAACCUAACUUGCAACUGAACUUGCGAAAUUAACCCCAUGAAGGAAUAGGGGAGGCCAGGAUCCUGUAUUUUCAUACCAUCCUCAAACAAUCAUCCGAAAUUUCUUUGACGGUGUUACGCAGUUUGACUUGACUCUGUUGAGAGAGAAAACUUACCAUUGAUGCAGGUGAUGAGGGCAGCCGUGGUUUGCUGAAUGGCCUCCCUGCAGUUCAAGGCUGGAUACUUGCCCAGAAAAGAUGAGACCGUCUGAAGCAAGUCAGUCAAUCUAACGUCGACAGGGCCGGAAAACGGGGAACCUGAAAACAAAAUGACAGGAGAUACAUCUUAUAUUUGGCAGAUGGACAAAUAUGCAAGCCUUGCUGUUUUCCCUUCUCAGACCAAACUGUACUUUUUUGUUGUUUCAAUCCCUAACUAGAAAAACAAGAAGGCAGAGGGAGUAUGGGCCUCCCGCAAGCAAAAUCCCAUGUAUCUACAUCUGAAACUAUGCAUUAUUCUGGCAACUGCCUGCUUUCAAAUAUGUGUUCACCAAGAUAACACAAAUGCAGCAAUGAGAGAGGUAUUUGGAGAGAAGAAUGAGCCAGCAGGGUUUUUUUGAAGUUGGUUUCUUGAACUGUUUCCAUAUCUGUGGAUAUUCCCCAGCAUAUUUCCUGGCCGAGACUAUUUUCCUUGCAGCCAAUCUAAUUCAAUUUCUCAUUCAGGCUGCAGGGAGUCGGCAUAUACAUAGAUUUGGGAAUACUACAUCCUUGAAAGGCAGCUACAUAAGAACAUAUAAAAUGACUGUGGGUACUUGCAAAGAGGAACAAUUGGACAAAGAGGCAUGAAGCUCCCCUUUGCCAUCCACAAAUACAGGGUGUUUCAAAAUGAUGGACUCAGUUUGAAACCGCUGUCUCUGCAACCAUGCUUUGCCCAUGAAUAAAACUCUUCUGCCUUGAAA